RNAcentral lists this small RNA (107 nucleotides) under Marmota monax (woodchuck). The record is from RNAcentral. Lineage: Eukaryota; Metazoa; Chordata; Mammalia; Rodentia; Sciuridae.
GCCAGGCGGGGUGGUGCACACCUGUAAUCCCAGCAGCUUGGGAGGCUGAGGCAGGAGGAUCGAGAGUUUAAGGAUAGCCUGGGCAACUUAACAAGAGCCUGUCUCAA